Episyrphus balteatus (marmalade hoverfly) is the source of this 1756-nucleotide long non-coding RNA. RefSeq lists it as uncharacterized. Lineage: Eukaryota; Metazoa; Arthropoda; Insecta; Diptera; Syrphidae. The transcript is spliced from 3 exons. The record is from RefSeq and is a predicted model, not a curated record.
UUUGUACUUGUUAUAUUUUACAUUAAUUUACUUGUUGUUUUAUAAAUCAAAAUACUUUUAUUUCUGGUUCUACCUGCGGCACCAAUAAAGGAUUUCAGUCCAGUCUACGAAUAGGAACUAUGGUGAGAUAACUUAUUCUACGAUUUCAAGUCCCAAUCUUUGUACAGACAUCGUUUUGGAGUCUCCAGAUAUUCCGAGUUCUCACUUGUGGCAAGGCUGUAUUUCCUUCAUACCAGCUAAUGAGCAGCAUAUUGUUCUUUAGAAUCCAACAACAUUUUUUCAGGAAGUAGGUAAUAAGACAUCUGAAUUUGUAUAACUCCAUUUUUCCAGAUAUGAGUUACAAAGGUAAUUGGAUCUUUUUACUUGCUGCUCAAGAACAGAACGAUUAGGAGGCAAUAAACUAUCUUCAAAACCUGAAAGGGUUAGUGUGCACAAUACGAACUUUGACGAACAUACCUACUUUUAAUGUUUUUAAAAAUAUUUUUUGAAGAAGGUUUGCAUGAUCUAUUAAAAACCUUGCCCUUUGUUUUAUAGAUUUUGCAAACAAAUUGUUCUAUUUUAACAAAAUAUUCUUCAGAAAUGUUUGUAGACCUUCGGAAUUUGGAAAAAAAACUUCUUGAAAGGGUUGUAUUUUUUCUUUUCGGAAAAAUGCUGGUGUAAAAUCACAGCCAGUGAAACUAUAAAAACCAUCAAGUGCAGUGCAAAGGUCUGGGCCCAAUUUCUCAUAGACCAAGUUUAUGCUUACGAGCCGCAGUGUGUUUUUGGACUUGAGCCAUACUUCUUUUUGAAUAAAUCCACUCUAGCAGUGUUGACAUCAUUAUUAUUGUUAUUAUACAUCUGAUUGGUAAAUUUUUGAAGCAAUUUCAUUUUUUGCAGAUCACUAAUAUGUUUGGGGUCAGUUAGCUCCGCAAAAGUUUUUUUGUAGGCGGGGUUUGAACUUAGGAGUGAAAACGGCUUCAUUUUCCAUUUUCCUCUAAAAGCAGCGUUAUAGUCACACCCCGUAAAGGCAUGUAGGAAUGGGAGAGUCUUGCAGAUCUCUGACCUUGAUUCUGAAAACAGUUUAGUACAAUUAAUAUGAUGUAGAUUGCGUUAGCCAAACUUCUUUCGCUGGAAGGACAUCCAUAAGCCCUAGAAGGAUGACUAAAACAUCCGUGUCGGUGGCGUAAAUAAGUGCUCUACGCUAAGCACACAUUUUGUAAAAGUGAAAGAAAAUACGCGUGUCAGCUUCUUCGUGGAAACAUUCCAGUUGAGGCUCUAUGGUCUUAGUGACCGCGGUUCCUUGUACUUCGAAAGAGAAGCAUGAUUCUCCAACUGUCAAAAAGAUUUGUUUAUCUAUAUAAUUUCCUUCAAAUUAUUUUGUUCCCAGUAUUGGAAGUUUAUAUAAGAACACACUCCAUCCUUUCGUUUGUAACCAAUUUCAUCCCUUAGCUCGACAAGUCCAGGGUCCACAGUCGGUCAACACAGAAAAAAGGAAAAAAAAGAGAAAAAUAAAAUCAAAUCGUGUUAGUAGUAUCGGGUCCUAAAAUGGGCUACGUGACCAAACUGCCAAGCUUUGACUUGGAAGACCUCUGAAAUAUAAAAGUAGACAUUCUAACCUUCGAUUUGACAUCUUUUUCAUACUUAAGUUUGAAAACAAUAAUAAUGCACAGCAUACUUUUUGAUUAAUUGCUCAAAAAUAUAGGUAUUUUUUGACAUUGUAUGGGUCUAUUUUUAGAAAUUUUUAAUCUAUUCCUAAUAUUUUUUAUGGAUUUAGUAC